GUUGUGUGUAGUGGUUAUCACAUCCACCUAAAACACGGAAGGUUCCAGGUUCGAGCCCUGGCAGAAACA
Non-coding RNA from Cordylochernes scorpioides, 69 nucleotides. NCBI's taxonomy places the organism in Eukaryota, Metazoa, Arthropoda, Arachnida, Pseudoscorpiones, Chernetidae. The record is from the annotation of a GenBank genome assembly.